RNAcentral lists this long non-coding RNA (321 nucleotides) under Vitis vinifera (wine grape). RNAcentral describes it as "long non-coding RNA (VVIN_LNC001929)". Lineage: Eukaryota; Viridiplantae; Streptophyta; Magnoliopsida; Vitales; Vitaceae. The record is from RNAcentral.
AUUUUUAAUUUAUUUUCCUUUUUCUUCUUUUAAUAUGAUAUAUUCAGCUAAACACACAGUCUCACCCAAAACCAUGCAACAUAGAUAAUAACAGAAGAACUAGAAGCUUGCAUAAUUGGUUUGUCAUUUGGGACCAAAAACAAAAACAACUAUGCAUGGCCAACUGUUCAACAGACUUUAGAUGAGAUUUUAAUUUCUCUUCGGAAACUAAGUGUCUGCUGGGCUCUGUUUUCAACAACUGUAUCUGUUUUCCACGAAGGUAGAAUGUUUUUUUUUUUUUUUUUUUUCCGAAGGUAGAAUGUGAAAGUGUACAGAGAAUCC